Molecule: ribosomal RNA, 801 nt
Filed under: uncultured bacterium
Lineage: Bacteria
Description: bacterial SSU rRNA
Rfam family: Bacterial small subunit ribosomal RNA
Source: RNAcentral
CAGGGGUUGCUUGCAAUCCGCUGACGACCGGCGCACGGGUGCGUAACGCGCAUACAAUCUACCUUUUGCUGAGGAAUAGCCCAGAGAAAUUUGGAUUAAUACCGCAUAGUAUAUAAGAUCGGCAUCGUUUUUAUAUUAAAGGUUACGGCAAAAGAUGAGUAUGCGUCCUAUUAGCUAGAUGGUGUGGUAACGGCACACCAUGGCGACGAUAGGUAGGGGCCCUGAGAGGGGGGUCCCCCACACUGGUACUGAGACACGGACCAGACUCCUACGGGAGGCAGCAGUGAGGAAUAUUGGGCAAUGGAGGCAACUCUGACCCAGCCAUGCCGCGUGCAGGAAGACUGCCCUAUGGGUUGUAAACUGCUUUUAUACGGGAAGAAACACCGCUACGUGUAGCGGCUUGACGGUACCGUAAGAAUAAGGAUCGGCUAACUCCGUGCCAGCAGCCGCGGUAAUACGGAGGAUCCAAGCGUUAUCCGGAAUCAUUGGGUUUAAAGGGUCCGUAGGUGGAUAAUUAAGUCAGAGGUGAAAUCCUGCAGCUCAACUGUAGAAUUGCCUUUGAUACUGGUUGUCUUGAGUCAUUGUGAAGUAGUUAGAAUAUGUAGUGUAGCGGUGAAAUGCAUAGAUAUUACAUAGAAUACCGAUUGCGAAGGCAGAUUACUAACAAUGUACUGACACUGAUGGACGAAAGCGUGGGGAGCGAACAGGAUUAGAUACCCUGGUAGUCCACGCCGUAAACGAUGGUCACUAGCUGUUCGGACUUCGGUCUGAGUGGCUAAGCGAAAGUGAUAAGUGACCCAC